This 253-nucleotide ribosomal RNA is filed under the name uncultured bacterium. Its description in RNAcentral is "partial 16S ribosomal RNA". It matches the Rfam family "Bacterial small subunit ribosomal RNA", at positions 524 to 776 of the family's 1533-position model. The record is from RNAcentral.
UACGGGGGGAGCAAGCGUUGUUCGGAUUUACUGGGCGUAAAGGGCGCGUAGGCGGCGCGACAAGUCACUUGUGAAAUCUCCGGGCUUAACCCGGAGCGGCCAAGUGAUACUGUAGUGCUAGAGUGCGGAAGGGGCUACUGGAAUUCUCGGUGUAGCGGUGAAAUGCGUAGAUAUCAGGAAGAACACCAAUGGCGAAAGCAGCUCUCUGGGACGGUACUGACGCUGAGACGCGAAAGCGUGGGGAGCGAACAGG